GGCUGGGAAAAACGGAGCGUUUUCCUUUGGCUGCCCUAAGGGACCCAGCGCUGAUUCACGUGGGCAGCGGUGAGUCCGGGUGUAUAUUGGAAACUGAUUUACAAGUAAAAGGAUGUGGCUGGGCCAGGAGAUGGGCCAAGGCUGGACUCCAUGGGACUCCAGGUAUUGAUCAUCGGGUGCUGAUCAUCGCAUAAAUGGCCCAAGAUGGAUCUCGUGGAAAUCCUCAGACAGAUCCAUGUGAAUGCAGCCUUCCUGUAAAUCUCAUCAGGGAUUCACCUACUCUGGACAUUGAAUUAUUCCUCCUCAUCACCAAAAA
This is a long non-coding RNA of Lonchura striata (white-rumped munia), 316 nucleotides long. RefSeq lists it as uncharacterized. The record is from RefSeq and is a predicted model, not a curated record. Lineage: Eukaryota; Metazoa; Chordata; Aves; Passeriformes; Estrildidae.